GUUUAAUGGAGGCUACCAAUAGCAGAAUCCACCACCAUGGUUCACUCAACAACCACAACAAACCCCAGCGGCUCAAGAUCCUGAAAUUAAGCAACUUAUUCAACAAAUCAUUCAAGGACAAGCUACUGGAGCUAUGGCUUUUGACAAGAAGAUAGCUGAAUUACACAACUAGAUCGAUUGUUCUUAUAACGAUCUAAAUGUCAAGUUUGAAGCUCUGAAUUCCAAAGUCAAGUAUGUGGAGAGUCAGUUUGCAUCCACCUCUGCUCUGAAGCAUCCUCAGCAACUUCAUGGGAAAGCAGUUCAGAAUCCUAAGGACUAUGCUACUGCAAAUGCUAUCACCAUCCACCAAGAAGAUGAGUCUCCACCAAGUCAUCAGAUUCCCAAUAUUGAGGACAGUAUGAUUCAAGAAGGGGGGAUUCAACUCAAAUUGUUGCACCUGCCAUCCAACAAUUCAUCUGGACUAUAGAGCACACACCUUUGCUGAAUACUCACCACUCUGAAAAACAUUUCAAAAGAGAAAAACUCAAGAAGGAUCAGAAUUAAGAGAUGAUUAGUAGAGUCAUCACUCAAGAAGCUUACAAGAAGAAAGUCAUCCAAGAAAAGCUUAGUGAUCCCGUUUCAUUCACUCUGCCAUGCUCUCUACGACCAUUGAUAUUCAAUAGGUGCCUUUGUGAUUUGGGAGCAUCUGUUAGCCUUAUGCCUCUCUCUACAGCUAAAAGGCUAGGGAUCAUGGAAUUCAAGUUCUGCAACUUAGCUUUACUCUUAGCUGAUUGUUCUGUUGCACAUCCUCAUGGUCUAAUAGAAAAUCUGCCUAU
RNAcentral lists this small RNA (815 nucleotides) under Arabidopsis thaliana (thale cress). RNAcentral describes it as "ATSL276940". The record is from RNAcentral. Lineage: Eukaryota; Viridiplantae; Streptophyta; Magnoliopsida; Brassicales; Brassicaceae.